UGGCGGCGUGCCUAACACAUGCAAGUCGAACGCGAAAGUGGAGCAAUCCAUGAGUAGAGUGGCAAACGGGUGAGUAACGCGUGGGCGACCUACCUCAGAGUGGGGGAUAACCUUCCGAAAGGAGGGCUAAUACCGCAUGACAUACCGUGUUUGGAUACACGGAUAUCAAAGCCGGGGAUCGUAAGACCUGGCGCUUGGAGAGGGGCCCGCGUCCGAUUAGCUAGUUGGUGGGGUAACGGCCUACCAAGGCUCCGAUCGGUAUCCGGCCUGAGAGGGCGGACGGACACACUGGGACUGAGACACGGCCCAGACUCCUACGGGAGGCAGCAGUGGGGAAUUGUUCGCAAUGGGCGCAAGCCUGACGACGCAACGCCGCGUGGAGGAUGAAGGAUUUCGGUCCGUAAACUCCUUUCGACCGAGAUGAACACCUCUUGACCUAAUACGUUGAGAGGUUGACAGUAUCGAGGGAAGCAGCCCCGGCUAACUCCGUGCCAGCAGCCGCGGUAAUACAGAGGUGCCAAGCGUUACUCGGAAUUACUGGGCGUAAAGCGUGCGUAGGCGGUUUGUUAAGUCUGUCGUGAAAGCCCUGGGCUCAACCUGGGAAUUGCGAUGGAUACUGGCAAGCUAGAGUACGGUAGAGGAUGGUGGAAUUCCCGGUGUAGCGGUGAAAUGCGUAGAGAUCGGGAGGAACACCCGUGGCGAAGGCGGCCAUCUGGACCAGUACUGACGCUGAGGCACGAAAGCGUGGGGAGCAAACAGGAUUAGAUACCCCGGUAGUCCUGGCAGUAAACGGUGUGCGUUUGGUGUGGGAGGAUUCGACCCCUUCUGUGCCGGAGCUAACGCGUUAAACGCGCCGCCUGGGGAGUACGGUCGCAAGAUUAAAACUCAAAGAAAUUGACGGGGGCCCGCACAAGCGGUGGAGUAUGUGGCUUAAUUCGAUGCAACGCGAAGAACCUUACCUAGCCUUGACAUGCAUCUCUAAGUCGGUGAAAGCCGGCGACUGUAGCAAUACAGAAUUUGCACAGGUGCUGCAUGGCUGUCGUCAGCUCGUGUCGUGAGAUGUUGGGUUAAGUCCCGCAACGAGCGCAACCCCUGUGAACUGUUGCCACCGGCCUUCGGGCCGAGCACUCUGUUCAGACUGCCCUGUGAAACGGGGAGGAAGGUGGGGAUGACGUCAAGUCAGCAUGGCCCUUACGGCUAGGGCUGCACACGUACUACAAUGCUCAGUACAGAAUGAACCGAAACCGCGAGGUGGAGGAAAUCCCUAAAACUGAGCCCAAUUCAGAUUGGAGGCUGCAACUCGCCUCCAUGAAGCCGGAAUCGCUAGUAAUGGCGUAUCAGCUACGACGCCGUGAAUACGUUCCCGGGCCUUGUACACACCG
Molecule: ribosomal RNA, 1382 nt
Filed under: uncultured Verrucomicrobiota bacterium
Lineage: Bacteria; Pseudomonadati; Verrucomicrobiota
Description: uncultured Verrucomicrobia bacterium partial 16S ribosomal RNA
Rfam family: Bacterial small subunit ribosomal RNA
Source: RNAcentral